Molecule: ribosomal RNA, 591 nt
Filed under: Bipolaris setariae
Lineage: Eukaryota; Fungi; Ascomycota; Dothideomycetes; Pleosporales; Pleosporaceae
Description: eukaryotic LSU rRNA
Rfam family: 5.8S ribosomal RNA (bases 206-359)
Source: RNAcentral
UCCGUAGGUGAACCUGCGGAGGGAUCAUUACACAACGAAAAUAUGAAGGCUUUGGCUUCGCGGCCGGCUGAAAUAUUUUUUUCACCCAUGUCUUUUGCGCACUUGUUGUUUCCUGGGCGGGUUCGCCCGCCACCAGGACCAAACCAUAAACCUUUUUUUUAAUGCAGUCGCAAUCAGCGUCAGUAAAAAAUAAUGUAAUUAUUACAACUUUCAACAACGGAUCUCUUGGUUCUGGCAUCGAUGAAGAACGCAGCGAAAUGGGAUACGUAGUGUGAAUUGCAGAAUUCAGUGAAUCAUCGAAUCUUUGAACGCACAUUGCGCCCUUUGGUAUUCCAAAGGGCAUGCCUGUUCGAGCGUCAUUUGUACCUUCAAGCUUUGCUUGGUGUUGGGCGUUUUUUGUCUCCCUCUUGCUGGGAGACUCGCCUUAAAACGAUUGGCAGCCGGCCUACUGGUUUCGGAGCGCAGCACAUAUUUUGCACUCUGUGUCAGGAGAAAAGGACGGUAAUCCAUCAAGACUCUACAAAUUUUAACUUUUGACCUCGGAUCAGGUAGGGAUACCCGCUGAACUUAAGCAUAUCAAUAAGCGGAGGA